GAUGAACGCUGGCGGCGUGCCUAAUACAUGCAAGUAGAACGCUGAAGGAAGGAGCUUGCUCUUUCCGGAUGAGUUGCGAACGGGUGAGUAACGCGUAGGUAACCUGCCUGGUAGCGGGGGAUAACUAUUGGAAACGAUAGCUAAUACCGCAUAACAGUAGAUGUUGCAUGAUAUCUACUUAAAAGGUGCAAUUGCACCACUACCAGAUGGACCUGCGUUGUAUUAGCUAGUUGGUGAGGUAACGGCUCACCAAGGCGACGAUACAUAGCCGACCUGAGAGGGGGAUCGGCCACACUGGGACUGAGACACGGCCCAGACUCCUACGGGAGGCAGCAGUAGGGAAUCUUCGGCAAUGGACGGAAGUCUGACCGAGCAACGCCGCGUGAGUGAAGAAGGUUUUCGGAUCGUAAAGCUCUGUUGUAAGAGAAGAACGAGUGUGAGAGUGGAAAGUUCACACUGUGACGGUAUCUUACCAGAAAGGGACGGCUAACUACG
RNAcentral lists this ribosomal RNA (495 nucleotides) under uncultured bacterium. RNAcentral's name for it is "partial 16S ribosomal RNA". It matches the Rfam family "Bacterial small subunit ribosomal RNA", at positions 28 to 505 of the family's 1533-position model. The record is from RNAcentral.